AACAGUUUUUGCUUCAUUGAAGGUAAAGAGUUUGAAUUAGAAAAUGCUAAGAUUAUGGAUAUUUAUGAAACUUUUUUAGAAAUUUUACAUUGUAUCAAUUUAGAUAACCUGGCUUGUGGUUGAUUUUACAGUACAAAGAUAUUUAAAAAGAGUGCUUACUUUUUCAUUGGGUUUGAUUUAUAAAUUUCAUUCAUGGAUAACAAUUUAUUCAUUAGAUUCUUGGAUUUGCAUCUUAAGAAACACUUGACUAACAGUUUCAUGCAAAUUGGCAACUGUGGGCUUUGCUCUUUAUUUGGCUCUAGCUGGAAAAUUGUUUGCCACAAGGUAUUGGGCAUGUAGUUUGGCUGCUUCCAAAUAAUAUCCAAAGUACAUUAUUACAUUUUCUUUCUAUGUUGAAAUAUCAUCAGAUGUGAAUGGCUUUCUAUUCUGUUAUUUUCUUUUCUAUUUGUUGAAAUUAAUUGUUUUCCUUGGAUUUUCUUAGGAAUUUCC
This 489-nucleotide unclassified non-coding RNA is filed under the name Hevea brasiliensis (rubber tree). Lineage: Eukaryota; Viridiplantae; Streptophyta; Magnoliopsida; Malpighiales; Euphorbiaceae. The record is from RNAcentral.